ACGAACGCUGGCGGCGUGCUUCACACCUGCCAGUCGUACGGUAAGGCCCUUUCGGGGGUACACGAGUGGCGAACGGGUGAGUAACACGUGAGUAACCUGCCCACAACUUUGGGAUAACGCUAGGAAACUGGUGCUAAUACUGGAUAUGUGCUCCUGCUGCAUGGUGGGGGUUGGAAAGCUCCGGCGGUUGUGGAUGGACUCGCGGCCUAUCAGCUUGUUGGUGGGGUAGUGGCCUACCAAGGCGGCGACGGGUAGCCGGCCUGAGAGGGUGACCGGCCACAUUGGGACUGAGAUACGGCCCAGACUCCUACGGGAGGCAGCAGUGGGGAAUAUUGCACAAUGGGCGCAAGCCUGAUGCAGCAACGCCGCGUGCGGGAUGACGGCCUUCGGGUUGUAAACCGCUUUCAGCAGGGACGAAGCUUUUUGUGACGGUACCUGCAGAAGAAGCACCGGCUAACUACGUG
This 464-nucleotide ribosomal RNA is filed under the name uncultured bacterium. RNAcentral describes it as "partial 16S ribosomal RNA". It matches the Rfam family "Bacterial small subunit ribosomal RNA", at positions 29 to 507 of the family's 1533-position model. The record is from RNAcentral.